RNAcentral lists this ribosomal RNA (1474 nucleotides) under Vibrio alginolyticus. Its description in RNAcentral is "bacterial SSU rRNA". It matches the Rfam family "Bacterial small subunit ribosomal RNA". Lineage: Bacteria; Pseudomonadati; Pseudomonadota; Gammaproteobacteria; Vibrionales; Vibrionaceae. The record is from RNAcentral.
CGUAGAUUGAACGCUGGCGGCAGGCCUAACACAUGCAAGUCGAGCGGAAACGAGUUAUCUGAACCUUCGGGGAACGAUAACGGCGUCGAGCGGCGGACGGGUGAGUAAUGCCUAGGAAAUUGCCCUGAUGUGGGGGAUAACCAUUGGAAACGAUGGCUAAUACCGCAUGAUGCCUACGGGCCAAAGAGGGGGACCUUCGGGCCUCUCGCGUCAGGAUAUGCCUAGGUGGGAUUAGCUAGUUGGUGAGGUAAGGGCUCACCAAGGCGACGAUCCCUAGCUGGUCUGAGAGGAUGAUCAGCCACACUGGAACUGAGACACGGUCCAGACUCCUACGGGAGGCAGCAGUGGGGAAUAUUGCACAAUGGGCGCAAGCCUGAUGCAGCCAUGCCGCGUGUGUGAAGAAGGCCUUCGGGUUGUAAAGCACUUUCAGUCGUGAGGAAGGUGGUGUAGUUAAUAGCUGCAUUAUUUGACGUUAGCGACAGAAGAAGCACCGGCUAACUCCGUGCCAGCAGCCGCGGUAAUACGGAGGGUGCGAGCGUUAAUCGGAAUUACUGGGCGUAAAGCGCAUGCAGGUGGUUUGUUAAGUCAGAUGUGAAAGCCCGGGGCUCAACCUCGGAAUAGCAUUUGAAACUGGCAGACUAGAGUACUGUAGAGGGGGGUAGAAUUUCAGGUGUAGCGGUGAAAUGCGUAGAGAUCUGAAGGAAUACCGGUGGCGAAGGCGGCCCCCUGGACAGAUACUGACACUCAGAUGCGAAAGCGUGGGGAGCAAACAGGAUUAGAUACCCUGGUAGUCCACGCCGUAAACGAUGUCUACUUGGAGGUUGUGGCCUUGAGCCGUGGCUUUCGGAGCUAACGCGUUAAGUAGACCGCCUGGGGAGUACGGUCGCAAGAUUAAAACUCAAAUGAAUUGACGGGGGCCCGCACAAGCGGUGGAGCAUGUGGUUUAAUUCGAUGCAACGCGAAGAACCUUACCUACUCUUGACAUCCAGAGAACUUUCCAGAGAUGGAUUGGUGCCUUCGGGAACUCUGAGACAGGUGCUGCAUGGCUGUCGUCAGCUCGUGUUGUGAAAUGUUGGGUUAAGUCCCGCAACGAGCGCAACCCUUAUCCUUGUUUGCCAGCGAGUAAUGUCGGGAACUCCAGGGAGACUGCCGGUGAUAAACCGGAGGAAGGUGGGGACGACGUCAAGUCAUCAUGGCCCUUACGAGUAGGGCUACACACGUGCUACAAUGGCGCAUACAGAGGGCGGCCAACUUGCGAAAGUGAGCGAAUCCCAAAAAGUGCGUCGUAGUCCGGAUUGGAGUCUGCAACUCGACUCCAUGAAGUCGGAAUCGCUAGUAAUCGUGGAUCAGAAUGCCACGGUGAAUACGUUCCCGGGCCUUGUACACACCGCCCGUCACACCAUGGGGAGUGGGCUGCAAAAGAAGUAGGUAGUUUAACCUUCGGGGGGACGCUUACCACUUUGUGGUCAUGAUG